UACGGAGGGUCCGGGCGUUAUCCGGAUUUAUUGGGUUUAAAGGGAGCGCAGGCGGCCUUUUAAGCGUGUUGUGAAAACCAGUCGCUCAACGACGGACUUGCAGCGCGAACUGAAUGGCUUGAGUACGGACGAGGCAGGCGGAAUUCGUGGUGUAGCGGUGAAAUGCUUAGAUAUCACGAAGAACCCCGAUUGCGUAGGCAGCCUGCCAGGCCGUUACUGACGCUAAAGCUCGAAAGUGCGGGGAUCGAACAGG
Molecule: ribosomal RNA, 253 nt
Filed under: uncultured prokaryote
Description: partial 16S ribosomal RNA
Rfam family: Bacterial small subunit ribosomal RNA
Source: RNAcentral